UAACCCGCGUGAGAAACUAAGCAUAUCAAUAAGCGGAGGAAAAGAAACCAACAGGGAUUGCCCCAGUAACGGCGAGUGAAGCGGCAACAGCUCAAAUUUGAAAUCUGGUCCUCACGGGCCCGAGUUGUAAUUUGUAGAGGAUGCUUUUGGUGAGGCACCGCCCGAGUUCCCUGGAACGGGACGCCACAGAGGGUGAGAGCCCCGUCUGGCUGGAUGCCGAGCCUCUGUAAAGCUCCUUCGACGAGUCGAGUAGUUUGGGAAUGCUGCUCAAAAUGGGAGGUAUAUGUCUUCUAAAGCUAAAUAUUGGCCAGAGACCGAUAGCGCACAAGUAGAGUGAUCGAAAGAUGAAAAGCACUUUGAAAAGAGGGUUAAACAGUACGUGAAAUUGUUGAAAGGGAAGCGCUCGUGACCAGACUUGGGCUUGGCGAAUCAUCCGGCGUUCUCGCCGGUGCACUUCGCCUCGUCCAGGCCAGCAUCAGUUCGCGCCGGGGGACAAAGGCUUCGGGAACGUGGCUCCUCCGGGAGUGUUAUAGCCCGUCGCGCAAUACCCUGGGGCGGACUGAGGUUCGCGCAUCUGCAAGGAUGCUGGCGUAAUGGUCAUCAGCGACCCGUCUUGAAACACGGACCAAGGAGUCGUCUUCGUAUGCGAGUGUUCGGGUGUCAAACCCCUACGCGUAAUGAAAGUGAACGCAGGUGAGAGCUUCGGCGCAUCAUCGACCGAUCCUGAUGUUCUCGGAUGGAUUUGAGUAAGAGCAUACGGGGCCGGACCCGAAAGAAGGUGAACUAUGCCUGUAUAGGGUGAAGCCAGAGGAAACUCUGGUGGAGGCUCGCAGCGGUUCUGACGUGCAAAUCGAUCGUCAAAUAUGGGCAUGGGGGCGAAAGACUAAUCGAACAUGUUAGCGGGUUU
RNAcentral lists this ribosomal RNA (907 nucleotides) under Oidiodendron griseum. RNAcentral describes it as "eukaryotic LSU rRNA". It matches the Rfam family "Eukaryotic large subunit ribosomal RNA", at positions 21 to 957 of the family's 3401-position model. RNAcentral also lists the same sequence under 1 other name. Lineage: Eukaryota; Fungi; Ascomycota; Leotiomycetes; Myxotrichaceae. The record is from RNAcentral.